CCUACGGGUGGCAGCAGUUAGGAAUUUUGGGCAAUGGGCGAAAGCCUGACCCAGCAACGCCGCGUGGGUGAUGAAGGCCUUCGGGUCGUAAAGCCCUUUUUCACGGGAAGAUAAUGACGGUACCGUGAGAAUAAGCCCCGGCUAACUACGUGCCAGCAGCCGCGGUAAUACGUAGGGGGCAAGCGUUGUCCGGAUUUAUUGGGCGUAAAGAGCGCGUAGGCGGCCGAGUGUGUCGUGCGUGAAAUCUCCCGGCUUAACUGGGAGGGGCCGUGCGAAACUGCUCAGCUUGAGGUCGGAAGGGGAAAGUGGAAUUCCGGGUGUAGUGGUGGAAUACGUAGAUAUCCGGAGGAACACCAGCGGCGAAGGCGGCUUUCUGGUCCGAUUCUGACGCUGAGGCGCGAAAGCGUGGGGAGCGAUCCGGAUUAGAUACCCGAGUAGUC
This 440-nucleotide ribosomal RNA is filed under the name uncultured bacterium. Its description in RNAcentral is "bacterial SSU rRNA". It matches the Rfam family "Bacterial small subunit ribosomal RNA", at positions 338 to 795 of the family's 1533-position model. The record is from RNAcentral.